AGAUAAACAAGAAGCAAAAAGGGGCUGGCCCGGUGCCUGAGUGGUUAAGUUCAUAUGCUCCACUUCGGUGGCCCAGGCUUCACCAGUUUGGAUCCUAGGCACAGAUCUACACACUGCUCAUCAGGCCAUGCUGUGGUGGUAUCUCAUAUAGAAGAACUAGAAGGACUUAUAACUAGGAUAUGCAACUAUGUACUGGGGCUAUGGAGAGAAAAUUAAAAAAAAGAAGCAAAGAAACAAUAUGCUUCUCAAUGUGGAUAAGUGCCUGACUGACAGAGCGAUGGGGAUGAGUCAACCUGGAGAGUCAAAGGCUACAUUGAAUUGGGUGAUCAGGGAAGGCCUCUCUAAGGAAGUCACAUUUGACCUGAGACCUAAGACUUAAGAAGGAUUCAGGUGCCAAAGCAUUAGAGCAAGAAGUUUCUACACAGAGCAAGAGCAAGAGACUACGACAUCCCAAAGAAUCAGUUUCAUCUGUGAUUUCAAGAUGGCAUUCAACAGUGCUAGGAGAAACAUACUUCCUCUUCUACAAUGGGAAAGAGAGAGAGAAACCUGGAUUUGAGUUGAUUCAAGACCAAGAGAGAGGUUAAGAAGUAGGCACAGAGAAUCCUUUAAAGGCUCAGUCCACCAGCCCACGUGAAGUCAUUGGUUAUCUCUGAACUGGAACCUCGCGUUUUAACUCCUAUCUAGCUACUACCAAGAGUGGAAAAGUCCUGUAAAAAUGUGCAAAAGGACAAAGGUAUAAUGACAAGGAAUACUCAUGUGAACCCUAAUGUAAACUCUGGACUUUGGGUGACAAUGGCGUGUCAAGAUGAGCUGAAACGAGAACUGGGCUCGACAAGCAAGGAUAUCCACAGCAAUAUGCUGACAGUCCGCGCUUGCUGACCUGACUCGCCAUGUCAGGUCUGAGAAGAUAAAAGAUGGCGUCUUUCCAAGUGGAAAUGAGGAAUGAGCACAGCCACUCCACGCUGGAGCCAGCUCCUCUUUCUGUGACACACACGCAACUCUCACUCGGCAAUUCCCUCAGUAAGAACAUUUCAAA
RNAcentral lists this long non-coding RNA (1036 nucleotides) under Equus caballus (horse). Its description in RNAcentral is "lncRNA (ENSECAG00000045069.1)". The record is from RNAcentral. Lineage: Eukaryota; Metazoa; Chordata; Mammalia; Perissodactyla; Equidae.